This 290-nucleotide ribosomal RNA is filed under the name Salmonella enterica. RNAcentral's name for it is "partial 16S ribosomal RNA". It matches the Rfam family "Bacterial small subunit ribosomal RNA", at positions 1 to 287 of the family's 1533-position model. RNAcentral also lists the same sequence under 2 other names. The record is from RNAcentral. Lineage: Bacteria; Pseudomonadati; Pseudomonadota; Gammaproteobacteria; Enterobacterales; Enterobacteriaceae.
AAAUUGAAGAGUUUGAUCAUGGCUCAGAUUGAACGCUGGCGGCAGGCCUAACACAUGCAAGUCGAACGGUAACAGGAAGCAGCUUGCUGCUUUGCUGACGAGUGGCGGACGGGUGAGUAAUGUCUGGGAAACUGCCUGAUGGAGGGGGAUAACUACUGGAAACGGUGGCUAAUACCGCAUAACGUCGCAAGACCAAAGAGGGGGACCUUCGGGCCUCUUGCCAUCAGAUGUGCCCAGAUGGGAUUAGCUUGUUGGUGAGGUAACGGCUCACCAAGGCGACGAUCCCUAGC